GGGUGCGAUCAUACCAGCACCAAUGCACCGGAUCCCAUCAUCAGAACUCCGCAGUUAAGCGUGCUUGGGCGAGAGUAGUACUAGGAUGGGUCGCCUCCUAGGAAGUCCUCGUGUUGCACCCC
RNAcentral lists this ribosomal RNA (122 nucleotides) under Gossypium hirsutum (cotton). The record is from RNAcentral. Lineage: Eukaryota; Viridiplantae; Streptophyta; Magnoliopsida; Malvales; Malvaceae.